This is an RNA transcript of Aegilops tauschii subsp. strangulata, 1307 nucleotides long. RefSeq lists it as uncharacterized. The record is from RefSeq and is a predicted model, not a curated record. NCBI's taxonomy places the organism in Eukaryota, Viridiplantae, Streptophyta, Magnoliopsida, Poales, Poaceae.
CGGCGCCGGCAAUGCAAAGCUCAGCUGUACAUGGAACUGAACAUGACAAGUCAUCCACUCCACAAGAAACAGGGGGUAUAGAUGGCAUCGAGGCUGAGGCGACCCAAGGUACUAGUACAGAACCUGGACAAACUAAAAGGAGGAAACUUACAUCUGAAGUAUCGACAAAAUAUCUUCUAUUCGUCUAGCAAUACGAAAAUGGUCUACUAGUGAGCAUGUUCCUUUGCAAAAGAUGUCUGAGGAAAUGAAGACGAAGUUUGAGAAGUAUUGGAAAGAAGUCCAUGGUCUUAUGUCUGUGGCAACAGUCCUUGAUCCAAGAUAUAAGCUUCAUACGUUGCAAGCUUUGUUUGUCUCUCUCUAUGGGUUUGAACAUGCAACUACAGAAGUGGAGAAAAUUAGAAAGUUAAUGGGUGAUUUGUUGCUAGAAUAUCAAGCAUCUGAUGGUGGUGUGGGUACCUCGGAGUCACAGGUAGGUAGGAGUGUUUCUACCCAAGGUGGUGCUGCAGUAGAUGAAAUGGAGAAUAUAUUUAAACAAUAUAUGUCCUCGAAGUCUGUUACGAGUGCUUCUCAUGUGCGGAUAGAACUGGACUUAUAUUUGGAAGAGGAAAUUAUCCAUAGGCCAGAGGGUCUCGACAUCAUCAAUUGGUGGCAGUUUGGAGGUAUCAAGUAUCCUACAUUGCGAAGAAUGGCUCAUGAUAUACUAGCCAUUCCUGUAACAACCGUGCGUUGGAAUCUGUCUUCAGUACUAGUGGGAGAAUACUAAGUGCACAUAGAUGUUCACUUGCACCAAACAUGACCGAAGCUCUUAUGUGUAUGCAAGCUUGGUCCCGUGCAGACAUGUUAGGGGAUUGAAAUUCUACUCUCUUUGCGGACUUCGAAACUGUUCUUAAGGAUGACACAGAAAUGAUGGAGGUUGAUGAUCAAUCCAUCCUAACUGAAGCCUGAAACAUGAUUGUAUGAUGUUGCUGCUGCUGCUUGGUUGCGACGAGAAGGCCGACGACCCGGCGUGCUACACUACUACCUGCUGUUAUUUACAUUUAUCCAUGGGCUGCUACACUGCUAGCUUGUUGGCACACAACUACUCAACCUGAACCUUGUAUUUGUGCAUUUGUGCUGCUGCUGAACCUUGUAUUUCUGCUGCUAUUUGUGCACCUGAACCUUGUAUUUCUGCUCCUGAACCUUGUAUUUGUGCUUCUGAAGACCUGCACCAUGUAUUUGUGAUGCUAUUUGUGCUCCUGAACCUUGUAUUUGGCUUCCUGAUACUGUGUUUUCUAUUUGUUCUACUAUAUAUUCACAUUGAUGGUUAG